RNAcentral lists this ribosomal RNA (253 nucleotides) under uncultured bacterium. RNAcentral's name for it is "partial 16S ribosomal RNA". It matches the Rfam family "Bacterial small subunit ribosomal RNA", at positions 524 to 776 of the family's 1533-position model. The record is from RNAcentral.
UACGGAGGGGGCUAGCGUUGUUCGGUAUUACUGGGCGUAAAGCGCACGUAGGCGGCUUUGUAAGUUAGAGGUGAAAGCCCGGAGCUCAACUCCGGAAUUGCCUUUAAGACUGCAUCGCUAGAAUUGUGGAGAGGUGAGUGGAAUUCCGAGUGUAGAGGUGAAAUUCGUAGAUAUUCGGAAGAACACCAGUGGCGAAGGCGACUCACUGGACACAUAUUGACGCUGAGGUGCGAAAGCGUGGGGAGCAAACAGG